Molecule: long non-coding RNA, 564 nt
Organism: Malaclemys terrapin pileata
Lineage: Eukaryota; Metazoa; Chordata; Testudines; Emydidae
Exons: 2
Source: RefSeq, a predicted model, not a curated record
ACACCCUUCUCCCUCGAUCUGCAAGGAGAGGCCACUGGGAGACGGCUACCCCCUUUUUCAGGCCUGGGGGCUGGUGGAAAAGAUUUAGACGAAUAGAUCCAUUAGCUCGAGUAUGUAUUUGUUGCUAGGAAGCACUGCCACACGCUGAUGGGAGUAAUUGUCGCGUUGACGAAUGCUCCAUAUUUCUGGCAACCAGGCUCCAUCCCUCGCCAGCCUGUCGGACCCCCGAAAACUUUGUCGUUUGCUCCGAAGGGGGAAGGGGUUUUGAUUGAGCCCGGAGCAGAUGCAGGACUCGGGUGGUUUCGAUGGAUCUCGUGUCUGGAGUGAUACGGCCAGGAGGGAAGAAAACGUAUCUUCCAGAUCUACCCGGGCAGAGAAAUGCCUGCUUUGACCUAUCAGCCACAUAAAGCGCAGUCCAGCAAACAGGCCCGUGUGCGAAAUGAAAAGGAUUCGCAGAGCCCCACAACACAAGGCAAGACCCAAAGGUUCGGCAUUGAGUAACUCCAGAGAUGAGGACAGAGAAUGGGAGUUAGCAGAGAGGAGGAGGAGCAGGAUAGAAGAAGU